Molecule: ribosomal RNA, 534 nt
Filed under: uncultured bacterium
Lineage: Bacteria
Description: bacterial SSU rRNA
Rfam family: Bacterial small subunit ribosomal RNA
Source: RNAcentral
UACUUUCCUAGACCGGCGCACGGGUGAGUAACGCGUAUGCAACCUGCCCUUUACAGGGGGAUAGCCCGGAGAAAUCCGGAUUAAUACCCCAUAGAUCUGUAUUCUCGCAUGGGGAAACAGGUAAAGCUUUGGCGGUAAAGGAUGGGCAUGCGUGGCAUUAGCUAGUUGGCGGGGUAACGGCCCACCAAGGCUGCGAUGCCUAGGGGUUCUGAGAGGAAGAUCCCCCACACUGGUACUGAGACACGGACCAGACUCCUACGGGAGGCAGCAGUGAGGAAUAUUGGUCAAUGGGCGAGAGCCUGAACCAGCCAUCCCGCGUGCAGGAAGAAGGCCCUAUGGGUUGUAAACUGCUUUUGUGCAUGAAGAAAAGUAUCCUCGUGAGGGUAUUUGACGGUAAUGCGUGAAUAAGCACCGGCUAACUCCGUGCCAGCAGCCGCGGUAAUACGGAGGGUGCAAGCGUUAUCCGGAUUUAUUGGGUUUAAAGGGUGCGUAGGCGGCAAAUUAAGUCAGUGGUGAAAUCCUGCAGCUUAACUG